UACGAAGGGGGCUAGCGUUGUUCGGAAUUACUGGGCGUAAAGCGCACGUAGGCGGACUAUUAAGUCAGGGGUGAAAUCCCGGGGCUCAACCCCGGAACUGCCUUUGAUACUGGUAGUCUCGAGUCCGGAAGAGGUGAGUGGAAUUCCGAGUGUAGAGGUGAAAUUCGUAGAUAUUCGGAGGAACACCAGUGGCGAGGGCGGCUCACUGGUCCGGUACUGACGCUGAGGUGCGAAAGCGUGGGGAGCAAACAGG
Molecule: ribosomal RNA, 253 nt
Filed under: uncultured bacterium
Lineage: Bacteria
Description: partial 16S ribosomal RNA
Rfam family: Bacterial small subunit ribosomal RNA
Source: RNAcentral